This 436-nucleotide ribosomal RNA is filed under the name uncultured bacterium. RNAcentral describes it as "bacterial SSU rRNA". It matches the Rfam family "Bacterial small subunit ribosomal RNA", at positions 957 to 1391 of the family's 1533-position model. The record is from RNAcentral.
GAACGCGAAGAACCUUACCAGGUCUUGACAUUGAUGGACAGAACUAGAGAUAGUUCCUCUUCUUCGGAAGCCAGAAAACAGGUGGUGCACGGUUGUCGUCAGCUCGUGUCGUGAGAUGUUGGGUUAAGUCCCGCAACGAGCGCAACCCCUAUCUUAUGUUGCCAGCACGUAAUGGUGGGAACUCAUGAGAGACUGCCGCAGACAAUGCGGAGGAAGGCGGGGAUGACGUCAAAUCAUCAUGCCCCUUAUGACCUGGGCUACACACGUACUACAAUGGGAGUUAAUAGACGGAAGCGAAACCGCGAGGUGGAGCAAACCCGAGAAACACUCUCUCAGUUCGGAUCGUAGGCUGCAACUCGCCUACGUGAAGUCGGAAUCGCUAGUAAUCGCAGGUCAGCAUACUGCGGUGAAUACGUUCCCGGGUCUUGUACACACC